UGAAGAUGCAGGUUACCCGCGACAGGACGGAAAGACCCCGUGGAGCUUUACUGUAGCCUGAUAUUGAAUUUUGGUACAGUUUGUACAGGAUAGGCGGGAGCCAUUGAAACCGGAGCGCUAGCUUCGGUGGAGGCGCUGGUGGGAUACCGCCCUGACUGUAUUGAAAUUCUAACCUACGGGUCUUAUCGACCCGGGAGACAGUGUCAGGUGGGCAGUUUGACUGGGGCGGUCGCCUCCUAAAGUGUAACGGAGGCGCCCAAAGGUUCCCUCAGAAUGGUUGGAAAUCAUUCGUAGAGUGCAAAGGCAUAAGGGAGCUUGACUGCGAGACCUACAAGUCGAGCAGGGACGAAAGUCGGGCUUAGUGAUCCGGUGGUUCCGCAUGGAAGGGCCAUCGCUCAACGGAUAAAAGCUACCCCGGGGAUAACAGGCUUAUCUCCCCCAAGAGUCCACAUCGACGGGGAGGUUUGGCACCUCGAUGUCGGCUCAUCGCAUCCUGGGGCUGUAGUCGGUCCCAAGGGUUGGGCUGUUCGCCCAUUAAAGCGGUACGCGAGCUGGGUUCAGAACGUCGUGAGACAGUUCGGUCCCUAUCCGUCGUGGGCGUAGGAAAUUUGAGAGGAGCUGUCCUUAGUACGAGAGGACCGGGAUGGACGCACCGCUGGUGUACCAGUUGUUCUGCCAAGGGCAUAGCUGGGUAGCUAUGUGCGGAAGGGAUAAGUGCUGAAAGCAUCUAAGCAUGAAGCCCCCC
RNAcentral lists this ribosomal RNA (745 nucleotides) under Pseudomonas aeruginosa. RNAcentral's name for it is "partial 23S ribosomal RNA". It matches the Rfam family "Bacterial large subunit ribosomal RNA", at positions 2054 to 2798 of the family's 2925-position model. Lineage: Bacteria; Pseudomonadati; Pseudomonadota; Gammaproteobacteria; Pseudomonadales; Pseudomonadaceae. The record is from RNAcentral.